CUCUCCUCAGGACUGAGGAGCUGCCUCCUCCUGCAAGGAUGCUUCUGCCAGCACAGGAAGCUGAUUCCAGAGACAGAGGAUCUGAAUUUAGUGUUAGAAGAAAGAAUGUAGUUCAUUGUUCACAGCUCAACUGAGGUAUUUCUGCACCGGCUCCUGCGUAGACAGUUUCUCUCACAGGUAUGAAAGGACAUAACAUCAAGGAUGGCUGAACAGAAGCAGAUUCUUCUGACGUUUGACUGCAACUAGGACAACCUGAUGCCACCAAGGCAACCACAGGGAAGGCACGAGAUACACUGUGCAUGUGGGUGUGAGGUGUGAAGACAGAGGGAUCAAGCUGUUCUUCAUCAGUGCAAAAGGGAGGUUCUGAAAUGAGUAAGACUACUU
Long non-coding RNA from Lepidothrix coronata (blue-crowned manakin), 384 nucleotides. RefSeq lists it as uncharacterized. The transcript is spliced from 3 exons. The record is from RefSeq and is a predicted model, not a curated record. NCBI's taxonomy places the organism in Eukaryota, Metazoa, Chordata, Aves, Passeriformes, Pipridae.